This 429-nucleotide ribosomal RNA is filed under the name Gemmatimonadota bacterium. Its description in RNAcentral is "Gemmatimonadetes bacterium partial 16S ribosomal RNA". It matches the Rfam family "Bacterial small subunit ribosomal RNA", at positions 355 to 776 of the family's 1533-position model. The record is from RNAcentral. Lineage: Bacteria; Pseudomonadati; Gemmatimonadota.
CAGGGAAUCUUCGGCAAUGGACGAAAGUCUGACCGAGCAACGCCGCGUGAGUGAAGAAGGUUCUCGGAUCGUAAAACUCUGUUGUUAGAGAAGAACAAGGACGUUAGUAACUGAACGUCCCCUGACGGUAUCUAACCAUAAAGCCACGGCUAACUACGCGUCAGCAGCCGCGGUAAUACGUAGGUGGCAAGCGUUGUCCGGAUUUAUUGGGCGUAAAGCGAGCGCAGGCGGGUGCUUAAGUAGGAUGUGAAAGCCCCCGGCUCAACCGGGGAGGGUCAUUGGAAGCUGGGAGACAUGAGGGCAGAGGAGGAGGGUGGAAUUCCAUGUGUAGCGGUGAAAGGCGUAGAUAUAUGGAGGAACAGCAGUGGCGGAGGCGACUCUCGGGUCUGAAACUGAAGCUGAGGCUCGAAAGGGUGGGGAGCAAACAGG